UCUGAAUCUGCGAACGGCUCCGCAAACCAGUUGUAAACUAUAGCAAGCAAUCCUGCGGGCGGCUUCGGCUGCUCGUGGGUAACAUGGAUAACCCUGGUAAUUCUGAGGCUAAUACAAGAACGUACUUCCUGGCUGACCGGCAACGGAAGGCUGGGGAGCGUGCAACGUAUCGUAGGGAUAAACCGGGAAUGGGUGCACGCUUGGACCGCGCUAAAGACAGAUCUCGGCGAGCCUUCGGGUGAGCCUUGGCCUGAGCGGCUCUUGCUGUGUGCUUCUGACCUAUCAACUAGACGGCAGCGUAAGGGACAUGCUAUGGU
This 317-nucleotide ribosomal RNA is filed under the name Polyschismium chailletii. RNAcentral's name for it is "SSU rRNA". It matches the Rfam family "Eukaryotic small subunit ribosomal RNA", at positions 80 to 350 of the family's 1831-position model. The record is from RNAcentral. Lineage: Eukaryota; Evosea; Eumycetozoa; Physariida; Didymiaceae.